This 594-nucleotide ribosomal RNA is filed under the name Zicca annulata. RNAcentral describes it as "SSU rRNA". It matches the Rfam family "Eukaryotic small subunit ribosomal RNA", at positions 46 to 629 of the family's 1831-position model. Lineage: Eukaryota; Metazoa; Arthropoda; Insecta; Hemiptera; Coreidae. The record is from RNAcentral.
UAGCCAUGCAAGUCUCAGUACGAACUGACUUAAUGUGAAACCGCAAAAGGCUCAGUAAACCGGUCAUAGUUUACCGGAUAUAUGCCACUUACGUGGAUAACUGUGGUAAUUCUAGAGCUAAUACAUGCAAACAAGCCCCGACCAGCGAUGGAGAGGGCGCUUUUAUUGGAUCAAAACCUUUCGCCCGGCUUGCCCGGGCGUCGGCUUGACGACUCUAGAUAACACCACAGAUCGCACGGUCACAGUACCGGUGACAUAUCCUUCAAAUGUCUGACUUAUCAGCUGUCGAUGGUAGACUCUGUGUCUACCAUGGCGCUCACGGGUGACGGGGAAUCAGGGUUCGAUUCCGGAGAGGGAGCCUGAGAAACGGCUACCACAUCCAAGGAAGGCAGCAGGCACGCAAAUUACCCACUCCCGGCACGGGGAGGUAGUGACAAAAAAUAACGAUACGGGACUCAUCCGAGGCCCCGUAAUCGGAAUGAGAACACCCUAAAUCCUUUAACGAGGAUCUAUUGGAGGGCAAGUCUGGUGCCAGCAGCCGCGGUAAUUCCAGCUCCAAUAGCGUAUAUUAAAGUUGUUGCGGUUAAAAAGCUC